UGAUGGAGGGGGAUAACUACUGGAAACGGUAGCUAAUACCGCAUAACGUCGCAAGACCAAAGUGGGGGACCUUCGGGCCUCAUGCCAUCAGAUGUGCCCAGAUGGGAUUAGCUAGUAGGUGAGGUAAUGGCUCACCUAGGCGACGAUCCCUAGCUGGUCUGAGAGGAUGACCAGCCACACUGGAACUGAGACACGGUCCAGACUCCUACGGGAGGCAGCAGUGGGGAAUAUUGCACAAUGGGCGCAAGCCUGAUGCAGCCAUGCCGCGUGUAUGAAGAAGGCCUUCGGGUUGUAAAGUACUUUCAGCGAGGAGGAAGGCCUUAAGGUUAAUAACCUUGGUGAUUGACGUUACUCGCAGAAGAAGCACCGGCUAACUCCGUGCCAGCAGCCGCGGUAAUACGGAGGGUGCAAGCGUUAAUCGGAAUUACUGGGCGUAAAGCGCACGCAGGCGGUCUGUCAAGUCGGAUGUGAAAUCCCCGGGCUCAACCUGGGAACUGCAUCCGAAACUGGCAGGCUAGAGUCUUGUAGAGGGGGGUAGAAUUCCAGGUGUAGCGGUGAAAUGCGUAGAGAUCUGGAGGAAUACCGGUGGCGAAGGCGGCCCCCUGACAAGACUACCUUAGGUCAAAAGGAG
Molecule: ribosomal RNA, 631 nt
Filed under: Klebsiella sp. INBio3709E
Lineage: Bacteria; Pseudomonadati; Pseudomonadota; Gammaproteobacteria; Enterobacterales; Enterobacteriaceae
Description: bacterial SSU rRNA
Rfam family: Bacterial small subunit ribosomal RNA
Source: RNAcentral